UACGAAGGGUGCAAGCGUUAAUCGGAAUUACUGGGCGUAAAGCGCGUGUAGGCGGCGCACUAAGUUCGAUGUGAAAGCCCUGGGCUUAACCCAGGAACUGCAUUGAAAACUGGUGGGCUCGAAUCCGGGAGAGGGAUGUGGAAUUCCAGGUGUAGCGGUGAAAUGCGUAGAUAUCUGGAGGAACACCGGUGGCGAAGGCGGCAUCCUGGACCGGUAUUGACGCUGAUGCGCGAAAGCCAGGGGAGCAAACGGG
RNAcentral lists this ribosomal RNA (253 nucleotides) under uncultured bacterium. RNAcentral's name for it is "partial 16S ribosomal RNA". It matches the Rfam family "Bacterial small subunit ribosomal RNA", at positions 524 to 776 of the family's 1533-position model. The record is from RNAcentral.